RNAcentral lists this long non-coding RNA (624 nucleotides) under Sinocyclocheilus anshuiensis. RNAcentral describes it as "lncRNA (ENSSANG00000039861.1)". Lineage: Eukaryota; Metazoa; Chordata; Actinopteri; Cypriniformes; Cyprinidae. The record is from RNAcentral.
GAGUCCACCCAGGCGUGCGUCAGAUCAGCCCUGUCAACAUCACGAGAAAGACAACUUGGGUACAUGACUUUUAAAAGGUGAAAAGAGGACAGGAGAUACAAAAGAGAAAAAAAAACAGAAGUGGGACUGAAGAAGAGAGGAUUAUUGAAGAAAUAAGAAGACUCUAAACGUCUGAAGACGCUUGACAAAGGCCUGCAGGAGACCAGCCAUGGAGGAGGAUUACAAGAGACCACCACCAUCCUAUGAAGAAGUUAUAACCGAGCAGCACACGAGCAACACUAGUCAGAGCCACACUGCUGAUAACAGGCAGGGCUGCUGCUGCAGAUGUUGCAUUAGCACCAAGAACUGUCUGAUGAGUCCGGAGUGCGGUCGAGCUCUUAACAUCGCCAGCGUGAUUGCCAUGUGUGGCAUGUGUAUUCGAAUGUUUGUCUAACACAGUCUCCUGUGGACCAUUUAUUCCAGAUCUCUCAUCCAGUGGUGGCCUUCUCAAAUUAAAAAGGAAACAAAGACAUUUGCUCUGUUCCAAAACCUAGUGAUCUGCAACAUGUAUAAGCGUUCCCCCAAUACGAAUCCCAAUGCUGUUCCAAAAAGGAUGCAGCACUGCAUUUAUCCUUAACAGAUAAG